Molecule: ribosomal RNA, 848 nt
Filed under: uncultured Bacillota bacterium
Lineage: Bacteria; Bacillati; Bacillota
Description: bacterial SSU rRNA
Rfam family: Bacterial small subunit ribosomal RNA
Source: RNAcentral
AUGCAAGUCGGACGCGAAAGUUCCCUUCGGGGAGCUAGUAGAGUGGCGCACGGGUGAGUAACACGUAGGUAAUCUACCUUCGGAUGGGGAAUAACACCGAGAAAUCGGUGCUAAUACCGCAUAAUGCAGCGGCACCUAAUGGUGACAGUUGUUAAAGCGGGGGAUCGAAAGACCUCGCGUCUGAAGAGGAGCCUGCGGCAGAUUAGCUAGUUGGUAAGGUAACGGCUUACCAAGGCGAUGAUCUGUAGCCGGCCUGAGAGGGCGGUCGGCCACACUGACACUGACAUACGGGUCAGACUCCUACGGGAGGCAGCAGUCGGGAAUUUUGGGCAAUGGGCGAAAGCCUGACCCAGCAACGCCGCGUGAAGGAUGAAAUCCCUCGGGAUGUAAACUUCGCAAGAACAGGAAGAAUAAGUGAGAGUUAACACCUCUUACGAUGACGGUACUGUUUGUAAGCUCCGGCUAACUCCGUGCCAGCAGCCGCGGUAAUACGGGGGGAGCAAGCGUUGUUCGGAUUUACUGGGCGUAAAGGGCGCGUAGGCGGCCACCGCAAGUCGAUUGUGAAAUCUCCGGGCUUAACUCGGAAAGGUCAACCGAUACUGCGGGGCUAGAGUGCAGAAGGGGCAACUGGAAUUCUCGGUGUAGCGGUGAAAUGCGUAGAUAUCGAGAGGAACACCUGCGGCGAAGGCGGGUUGCUGGGCUGACACUGACGCUGAUGUGCGAAAGCUAGGGGAGCGAACGGGAUUAGAUACCCCGGUAGUCCUAGCCUUAAACGAUGAAUGCUUGGUGUCUGGGGUUUUAUAGUCCCCGGGUGCCGUCGCUAACGCUUUAAGCAUUCCGCCUGGGGA